RNAcentral lists this unclassified non-coding RNA (403 nucleotides) under soil metagenome. RNAcentral's name for it is "partial contains 5.8S ribosomal RNA, internal transcribed spacer 2, and large subunit ribosomal RNA". The stretch from base 1 to 122 matches the Rfam family "5.8S ribosomal RNA", at positions 35 to 154 of the family's 154-position model. The record is from RNAcentral.
GAUGAAGAACGUAGCAAAAUGCGAUACUUGGUGUGAAUUGCAGAAUCCCGUGAACCAUCGAGUUUUUGAACGCAAGUUGCGCCCGAAGCCUUUUGGCCGAGGGCACGUCUGCCUGGGCGUCACGCAUCGCGUCGCCCCCCCACAAAUUCUCCGUCAGGGGAGCUUGUGUUUCGGGGGCGGAUACUGGUCUCCCGUGCGCCUCGUCGCGCGGUUGGCAUAAAUGCCAAGUCCUCGGCGACGCACGCCACGACAAUCGGUGGUUGCGAAACCUCGGUUGCCCGUCGUGUGCGGUCGUCGCGCAUCGAGGGCUCGAAAAAAUUGCCGGGCUCUGUUUCGGCUUUCAACGCGACCCCAGGUCAGGCGGGGUUACCCGCUGAAUUUAAGCAUAUCAAUAAGCGGAGGA